UGUAACCCGGAAGUUAAACAACAAAAUUGUCGGGAAAUCUGCUCCGUGAAACCAUCUCAGGCAGCCAAUGGACUUUUUAUUUCAUUUGAGUAAAUAGUGCGUUUGUCUUGAGACUUGUGUAGAACCACAGUGUGUCUCAACGUGGGUUUAACAUGGACGAAUAUGACGAACUGUUCGAAAUCCAAGAUGAGUUCGAGGACCAGUUCGCAGACGAGCUGGAGGUUCUGGCUCAGAUGGAGGGGGAGUCCCCAACACACUUAAACUUGAACUUAAACUGGAGGUGGACUUUGAGCUGGAGUCUCUGAUGGAGAGGAAGGAGGAGGAGCGGGAGGAGCUGAUGGACUGGUGGAAGAUGAUGUCAGAGACACUGAACUUCUGAAGCGCUCGUCUGCUUCGCGAUUGGACCGUUCACACGUCGAGAUAUCUUGCACAGACACACAGGAGGAGAAUUUGCAGGCAGUGUGACAGCAAUGGG
Molecule: long non-coding RNA, 475 nt
Organism: Pleuronectes platessa (European plaice)
Lineage: Eukaryota; Metazoa; Chordata; Actinopteri; Pleuronectiformes; Pleuronectidae
Exons: 3
Source: RefSeq, a predicted model, not a curated record